RNAcentral lists this ribosomal RNA (253 nucleotides) under uncultured bacterium. RNAcentral describes it as "partial 16S ribosomal RNA". It matches the Rfam family "Bacterial small subunit ribosomal RNA", at positions 524 to 776 of the family's 1533-position model. The record is from RNAcentral.
UACGAAGGGGGCUAGCGUUGCUCGGAAUCACUGGGCGUAAAGCGCACGUAGGCGGUUUGCUAAGUCAGGGGUGAAAUCCUGGAGCUCAACUCCAGAACUGCCUUUGAUACUGGCGGACUUGAGUCCGGGAGAGGUGAGUGGAACUGCGAGUGUAGAGGUGAAAUUCGUAGAUAUUCGCAAGAACACCAGUGGCGAAGGCGGCUCACUGGCCCGAUACUGACGCUGAGGUGCGAAAGCGUGGGGAGCAAACAGG